GCUAACUUUAGCUCACCGCACAGAUAGACUACUACUAUAUUUUUAGCUUUAUCUUUCACCUCAUAUUUGGUCUCAAAUGCUGAUACUAUGUGGGAAUGCAUAAAGGCUUGAAGACAUGAGAGCGACCCGCUGUGUUCACACUGAAGCCUCUGAAGGUGAAAAAGAAGAAAAUGAGGAGGACAAGAAGGAGCCAAGGAAUCAAGAGACUCACUUUCACCUUGAACCUUAUGCAAAUCAGCAAAAAAGGGGAUAAAGAACCUGUCUUUGUCAGUGAAGUCCAUUCCCAGGACGAUGUUCUCCUCCGUAUCCUGAUGGCCGUUUGUGUAGAUGACCACCAUGUAUCGAACCCGCUCCGACCAGCCGCUCUCCAGCCGCACAGCCUGGAAACAAGUUGAUUGGACACCGAUGGAAACAUACAGACUGCAUCAUGGAUGCUUGCCGAAGACUUGAAUUUCACUGCCUCACGGGUACUCGAUGAAAGCUCGAGUUUCAGUGACUCACGGGUGCUCUACGAAGACUCGACUCUCACUGACUCACAGGUGCUCGCUGAGCAUCGGCAGCUCGGCUGCCAAACCUGCGAGUUUUGGCACAUCGAGUUUCAGUGACUCACGGGUGCUCUACGAAGACUCGACUCUCACUGACUCACAGGUGCUCGCUGAGCAUCGGCAGCUCGGCUGCCAAACCUGCGAGUUUCGGCACAUGUAUACCCGAUUCACUGGGGGAAGACGUGGUGCAUAAUACUACAAAGAGUGCUCAGUAUGACAGUGUACUUCUUCACCACUCCCAUCUGGAAGAUGGACGAUGGGAGUCAAUCAAAUCAGUAUUAUCUGUGCAAAUGCAGGUGUACCUAAUAAAGUGAGGGAUGCACUGCAGUAAGAAAAUGCACACUUUGUUGUGAACGAUAUAAUCCACCCCACCCCCUUUACAAAGACACAGCAUAACAAGUCCAUGAUACAGAUAG
Dunckerocampus dactyliophorus (ringed pipefish) is the source of this 961-nucleotide long non-coding RNA. RefSeq lists it as uncharacterized. NCBI's taxonomy places the organism in Eukaryota, Metazoa, Chordata, Actinopteri, Syngnathiformes, Syngnathidae. The record is from RefSeq and is a predicted model, not a curated record. The transcript has 5 exons.